This 87-nucleotide ribosomal RNA is filed under the name Clostridium beijerinckii. The record is from RNAcentral. Lineage: Bacteria; Bacillati; Bacillota; Clostridia; Eubacteriales; Clostridiaceae.
CUUCCCAUUCCGAACAGGAAAGUUAAGGUCUAUAGCGCCGAUGGUACUGCAUGGGAGACUGUGUGGCAGAGUAGGACGUUGCGAGGU